RNAcentral lists this ribosomal RNA (427 nucleotides) under Quamtana filmeri. Its description in RNAcentral is "partial 16S ribosomal RNA". It matches the Rfam family "Bacterial large subunit ribosomal RNA", at positions 1831 to 2597 of the family's 2925-position model. The record is from RNAcentral. Lineage: Eukaryota; Metazoa; Arthropoda; Arachnida; Araneae; Pholcidae.
UUCUUUAAGUAAUAAUUUAAAGUAAAACCUGCUCAAUGAAAUUAAAUCAAUAGCCGCAGUUAACUGUGCUAAGGUAGCAUAAUCACUUGCUUCUUAAUUAGAAGAUAGUAUGAAAGGUUACACGUUUUAAGUCUAUCUAUUAAUAAUUUAAUUAAACUAAUCAAGAUGUUACAAAUCAUCUACAUAACAGUGGGACGACAAGACCCUAGCAAACUUAAAAUUUAGUUGGGGCAACAAUUUAAAAACACCUUAUUCUCCCAAUAAACUCAACCAAAAAUCUGACAUAGACUAGUUACUGUAGGGAUAACAGCGCUAUUUCUUUUAAGAGUUCUUAUCUAAAAAGAAGAUUACGACCUCGAUGUUGAAUUAAUUUCCCUUCAUGGUGUAAAAGCUAUGCCCAGGUAGUCUGUUCGACUAUUAAAAAAUU